Molecule: RNA transcript, 5601 nt
Organism: Anopheles bellator
Lineage: Eukaryota; Metazoa; Arthropoda; Insecta; Diptera; Culicidae
Gene: norpA
Gene name: 1-phosphatidylinositol 4,5-bisphosphate phosphodiesterase
Exons: 12
Source: RefSeq, a predicted model, not a curated record
UUCGUGCAAAAAGUGUGCCGCUGGCGCGCGUGUGUGUGCUUUGGGUGAAAGUGGCAAGGAGCUACACCACUCCAACGAAUCCUGCAAAACACUGAACGAAGAGGAGCAUCAACCGCGAGCUACAUCGAAGUGGUUUGAAGGACCGCGAAAGGAAGCGAUCUUGAGUGCGGCGAACGUUCUCGCGCAAUAAACCUGGGCUGAGUCGGCACGCUGCUCCCGCGCGAUGACGAAGAAGUUCGAGUUCAACUGGCAGAUUCCGGUCCCGGAGCCGCUGCUGACGGGCUGCGUGUUCGACCGGUGGACGGAGGAGAAAGACAACAAUGAGCUGGAGCCAAACUGCAUGUUCAAGGUGGACGAGUACGGGUUUUUCAUCUACUGGAAAAGCGAAGGACGGGAAGGUGACGUUAUUGAAUUAUGUCAAGUCAGCGAUAUCAGAGCGGGCGGAAUGCCGAAGGACAUGAAGCUGUACAAUCAGCUGUGCAACAAGCACGGCGAGAACGUGGAAGAGAAAUCGCUGACCAUCUGCUCGGGCACGGAUUACAUCAACAUCAACUACCAGCAUGUCGUCUGCCCGGAUGCGGCAACAGCGAAGCUGUGGCAGCAAGGACUUCGCGAUAUUACCCACAACAGCAAGAUAAACAACGUGUGUCCCCGCACGAAUCUGAUGAAACAUUGGAUGCGGCUCGGCUUUCUCGUUGAUCCUCGAGGAAAGGUGCCGGUAAAGGUGGUUGCCCGAACAUUCGCGUCUGGUAAAACGGAAAAAUUGGUCUAUCAAAUCCUGUCCGACUUGGGGUUGCCCAGUGGCAAGAAUGAUGCGAUCGAAAAGGCUGACUUUACGUUCGAGAAGUUCUACGAGCUGUACCACAAGAUCUGUCCCCGUAACGACAUCGAGGAGCUUUUCCGCUCGAUAACGCAGGGAAAGGCGAACUCCAUCAACUUGGACCAGUUUAUCACCUUCCUGAACGAAAAGCAGCGCGAUCCGCGGCUGAACGAGAUCCUGUACCCGCUGUACGACGAGAAGCGUGCCCUGGAAAUCAUCACCAUGUACGAGCAGAACGAUGAAGCCCGGGAAGCGAAAACCCUCACCAAAGAUGGACUGAUCCGGUAUCUCAUGUCGGACGAGAAUGCGCCGGUCUUUCUCGAUCGGCUCGACAUCUACAUGGACAUGGAUCAGCCCCUGUCGCACUACUACAUCAACUCGUCCCACAACACGUACCUGUCCGGGCGGCAGUUCGGUGGCAAGAGCUCGGUCGAGAUGUACCGCCAGACGUUGCUGGCCGGCUGCCGGUGCGUGGAGCUCGACUGUUGGGACGGCAAAGGCGAGGACGAGGAACCGAUCAUCACGCACGGGAUGGCGAUGUGCACGGACAUCCUGUUCAAGGACGUAAUCUACGCACUGCGUGACACGGCGUUCGUUACGUCCGACUACCCGGUGAUCCUGUCGUUCGAAAACCACUGCUGCAAGUCGCAGCAGUACAAGCUGGCCAAGUACUGCGACGAAAUAUUGGGCGAUCUGCUGCUGAAGGAACCGAUCCCGGACUACCCGCUCGAUCCGGGGGCACCGUUGCCGCCACCGUCCUUCCUGAAGCGCAAGAUUCUGAUCAAGAACAAGCGGCUCAAGUCGGAGGUAGAGAAGAAGGAGCUGGAGCUGUUUCUGCAGGGCGAGUUCGUGAUCGAGGACGAGGACAAGGAGGACGCCAGUGCCGUGGUCGAUGUGAAGAAAAUCGAAGAGCUUGCGGUGGGUGGCGGAGCGGGUGCGGCCGCCGUUGCACCGGUAGCGGCCGCGGCCGCUUCGCAGGAUGGGGGCGAAGAAGCGCCCCCGAUACAGUACACCGGUUCGACGACCAACGUGCACCCGUGGCUCUCGUCGAUGGUAAACUACGCGCAGCCGGUCAAGUUCCAGUCGUUCGACUACGCGGACAAGAAGAACGUGCACCACAACAUGUCGUCGUUUGCCGAGACGACCGGCAUGAAUCUGCUAAAGUCGCAGGCCAUCGAGUUUGUCAACUACAACAAGCGCCAGAUGUCGCGCAUCUACCCGAAGGGCACGCGAGCCGACUCGUCCAACUACAUGCCGCAGGUGUUCUGGAACGCCGGCUGCCAGAUGGUGUCGCUCAACUUCCAAACCUCCGACCUGCCAAUGCAGCUGAACCAGGGCAAGUUCGAGUACAACGGCAACUGCGGCUACCUGCUGAAGCCGGACUUUAUGCGGCGUGCCGAUCGUAGCUUCGACCCGUUCGCGGACGCCCCGGUAGACGGAGUGAUUGCCGCUUCGUGCGCCGUACAGGUGAUCGCCGGCCAGUUCCUGUCGGAUAAGAAGGUCGGCACGUACGUCGAGGUGGACAUGUACGGUCUGCCAUCGGACACGGUGCGCAAAGAGUUCCGGACGCGCAUGGUCCCGGCGAACGGACUGAACCCGGUGUACAACGAGGAACCGUUCCUGUUCCGCAAGGUGGUGUUGCCCGAUCUGGCCGUACUGCGGUUCGGGGUGUACGACGAAAACGGCAAACUGCUCGGGCAGCGCAUUCUGCCGCUCGAUGGACUGCAGGGUGGCUACCGGCACAUCUCGCUGCGCACGGAAGCCAACUUUCCGAUGUCACUGCCCAUGCUGUUCUGUAACAUCGAGCUGAAAAUCUACGUCCCGGACGGGUUUGAAGACUUCAUGGAUGCGCUGUCCGAUCCGCGGGCGUUCAUGGGCGCGGCGAAGGAACGGUCGGACAACAUGCAAAAGCUGGGCAUCGAAGAGACGGGGGGCGGCGGUGGCGGGGCAACCGAGGCGAAGAAAGUGGAAGUGACGGAACCACCGCUCGUGUUUGACCCAAUCACUGUCGAUUCGCUGCGCCAGGAGAAGGGCUUCCAGAAGACGGCCAAGAAACAGCAGAAGGAACUGGACGCGGUCAAGAAGAAGCACGCCAAGGAGCGGACCGGUGUUCAGAAGCAGCAGAAUGGGGCCAUCGAGCGGCUGAUCAAAGGCAAGAGCAAGGACGAGAUCAAAGCCGACCCGGCGGUACGCAAGCUGAUCCAGGAACAGAACGCCCAGUGGACGGAGAUGGCCGAGCGGCACAAGAAGGAAGAGUGGGACCUCCUGAAGCAGCAGCUCGCCGACCAGCAGGACAUUCUGCGCAAGCUGAUGGAAACGACGCAGGCCGGCCAGAUGAAGCAGCUGGAGGCGAAACACGAGCGCGAGAUCAAGGAGCUAAACAGCCGCCAGGCCAAGAUUUCGGUCGAAACGUCCAAGGAGGUGGCCAACGACAAGACGCUCAAGACGAAGGGCGAAAAGGAUCGGCGAUUGCGCGAGAAGAAGCAAAACAACAUCAAGCGAUUUAUGGACGAGAAAAAGACUGCCACCAUCAAGCAGAACCGAGAAAAGGAGAAGCUAAAGGUUACCCACGACAAGCAGCUGGAAGAGCUGGCCAACGACGUGCAAAAGUUGACGGUUAGCGACGGUAGGCUUGUUAGUAGUGAUAGUACCGCGGCGAAUAUUGGUACGGGUGACACCGAGCACUUGCUUGCAAAGUUCACCAGCACCAAACCCAACUCAACGAUACCUUCUCCCGUGGAGCCCGAACCAGCAUGGCAACUGGGGACGAAUACGACGGGCGAACCUCAUGGCGGGACGCUACCGGAAACGAUCACUGCAGCAUUCCAAACCAACCAAACUGCGACCGUAGUCUCACAGCCAUUGCUACGGCAGCCCGCGGCUACCGGCGCUGCGGUCAACCGUACGAAGCGUGAUAAUGUGAAAAAUAAGUGUCCUUGCAUUUGCUCCUGAAACCCGGAUGAUGCGCCGAACUACAGCAAUGCCAUAGGAAAACAAGGGUGCCGCCGGGCGGUAUGAUCCCAGGGUAGCUUGCGACCAUCCGGCGAGAGCAACCACGCGUGGUGGCUUGUAUUGUUAUGGUGAACCCAAAAAGUAUUAUUUAGUCAAUCUCAUCGAAAUGUACAAAGUGGACGAGGAGGAAUACAAGCUGGCCUCAAAGUAUGAGUUUUUUGCCUAAGCACCGCACCGUUUGGCAAACCCAUGUCAUCGAAAGAACCGGACUCACGCGCCUCGGCAUAAAACCGGGGAACCCUAUCGAAGCUGGCUGGGAACAACGGCAUCUCGGAAAAUGAAAAAAAAACUAAGUUUCUUUUUUGUCAUUAAAUCACCUUUACGUACCGCGGAUCGCCCGGCUGUGUGGUCUUAGAGGACAGUGAAUGCGCGCGCAGAAUGACGCAACGGAAGGUCAUCGCUUUUGGGGACGUUUAGUUGGCUCAUGGUUGGCGGAUUGAUUCAAAAACAACCUGCAUUAAGCUGUUCAAACCACAGACAAAGCAUUCUGGAAGUCGCGAAGGCGGGGCGCCCGGAAUUUGGCUGGAUCUCAAGCACGGUGCCAAAGUAUCCCAGUCCGGAGCCUUAGUUGGAACAUCCGGCUUUUGUUUCAAUGCAAUCCGGAGAACCAAUGAGCACAGUAACUUCAAAAAGGUUAAGACAAACGCAAUACGCAAAUAAUCACACACAUCAGGAGAGUAGAGAAUUAUCAAAGUAAGAUAGGCGACAAAAAUAGGAGAACAGGAGCAUUGGCGCUGGGUUGCCGAGCGGUCGUCAGAACUAGGGACGAGAUGAAGGAAGAGCACUGACCAGAGAAUGUGCGGGAACAAUGUAAAACCGCUUGCGACCAAUCUCGUGGUAAGAUAGUAAUUAGCAGAUUAGGUAAUGCACAUACAGAUUCUUCGGCAUCAUUUCGUAAGGUUAUAUGUUGUUGCGAUCUUUGAAGAUUUUGGGUUGGUGGCUGUUGGCGCUAUUUAUUGGUCUAUUGAAUAGUUUACUAAGGUUUGUUUGAACUUUGGCUUUCUUCCUCGACAUUCUGUUACGUUAGCUAAUCCUGUCAAUUGAAACCGAGCAUUGGUGGCACUUUUGUUGGUCGACGCAAAACAAAGAUCGCGAAUUAGUAAAGUUGUAUAGGUGUAAGGAUCAUAAUUUCUUUCCCGAAACGGGACAGACGCUUCUUUCACGUUUGUACCAUAUAUGGGGCAGCUCUCCUCACUUGCACGCCGCUCUGAAGCACCAACAUCAACCCAACAUGAACAUCGUGGGACGCGAAUGAAGGUCCAAAAAAGCGAAGGGGAAACUGCACUAGUAUUUAGCAACAACAGUCGGGAAAGAUUUUGAAGCAAAACUCACGCAAAACGCGCACUGCAUUCAUACAAACAUCUUAAAUGUUACUCUAUCGCAUCGAACCAAAUCAAAAACCGUAUUCACCACUUGCCGUGAUAGGCAUAGUUUAUUGAAACACUGUGCCCGAGCACUUUAGUUUCCGAACGUGGCUCCUUAACUCGUCGAACACACCGGAAUCUACUGACUUUGUUUCCCUUUUUAGAUGAUCUUUUCUGUGGGCGUGGUUGUGGCCGGUCAGUACCGCGUUAAGGUAAAGAGGCGUUAGAGUUUAGAGAAAUAAUCUCCAAAAACAGUAGUUCAACUGUCUGUCCGCCCUUGCACCCGGCAUGCACAGGCAAAUGAUCGUACGACGGUGAUGUACCGCUGGGUCCUAAUCGAAUAAGCCACUACUCACAAAAAACAAUCAAAAGGUAGCAAAAACACUAAGAACACUGUCAAACCAC